CAAGAGUAGAAAUUCUGACACAUUAAUUGUUUAAAAAAUCACCUGGGCAACAAAAAACACCUGUCAGUCAGAAC
Non-coding RNA from Pangasianodon gigas (Mekong giant catfish), 74 nucleotides. Lineage: Eukaryota; Metazoa; Chordata; Actinopteri; Siluriformes; Pangasiidae. The record is from the annotation of a GenBank genome assembly.